GGAAAAUGGCAGGCAUUGUGAGAGGCUCACAGAGAACUUUUAUCUCGCCCAUCUGUGUGGUCUCCGGCGUGAUGAUCCUGGAAUCCAGCCAUCUCAACCUUCAUGCCAUUUAAGAAAAAAGUUUCGUCUGCUGAGAAGGGGCUCCACAGCUGCGUCCGAUUGGGGCGAACAAUGAAAGACACGGGAGCACAAACGAAAGGAAGGAACAGCAGACACGUGAAAUGUGUGUGUGUGUGCGGAAGCACGGGGUGCCAAAGCGCAGGGCUCGGUUCGCUGACAAGAGGAUUAAUAUUUCUCGAAAACUGCCUUUCUGUGUGGCUGCGGAGCGCCGCUCUGUGGAGGUGACCCCACCCUAGAAUGUUCUCGGCCCCUCCAUCUGUCGGCGUGGUGACAAACGGAGCCCCC
Long non-coding RNA from Scleropages formosus (Asian bonytongue), 405 nucleotides. The record is from Ensembl. Lineage: Eukaryota; Metazoa; Chordata; Actinopteri; Osteoglossiformes; Osteoglossidae.